AAACAAUAAUGAUGCUUGGGUCCCACCUGGAGAUUCUGAUACGGUUGGUCUGGCAGCGGGGCCUAGGAGUUGGGAGUAUUAAAAUCUCAGGUGAUCUUAAUGCAGUCAAGAAGACCCACUCCCACGGGUUAGAUUGUUUGCUUAAUUUGCAUCCUAUCAGGAGGCAGGUAAUGUCACACUGAUCCAUUGUUUGUGAUGCUAAACUCAGUCACUGGAUUGAGGUGGUCACCACCAGACCUCUCCAUCACAAAGGAGGCCUCUCCAUGGCUCUCCUUUGUAAAGAGUUGGACAGCAAGGACUCCCUGGUGGUGCAUUGGACCAGCAGGGCCUCUCUAGUCUUAUUUGUGGAGAUUGAUGGAUGAGAAAGGUGGCUGAGAAGCUUCCCAUACAUACUCCCUGGGGCAGUGCAACGGGAAGAAUGUGGGUUUCAGAGUCAGGUCUGGCUCUGUCAAGUUACCUGAGGCUCUCACCCUUUGCUGAGGCAAGGGCCCUAUUGGAGAGGCCCACAUGGCAAGGAACUGAGGACAGCCUCUGGCCAGCAGCCAGCAGGGAACUGAGGCCCUGAGUCCAACAACCCAUAUGGAAUUAAAUGUGCCACCAUCCACUGAGUGAGUGUGCGGGCAGAUCCUUCCAGGUUGAACUCAGAUGAGACUGCAGACGCUGGCCCAACACCUGGAUUACAAGCUUGCGACAGAUCAUGAAGCAGAGGACUCAGUGAAGAUGUGCCUGGGUUCCUGACACGGAAACGAUGAGAUAAUGAAUAUCUGUUGUUUUUUGAUGCCCAGUGUUGGAGUAAUUCAUUAUGCAGCAGUAGAUAGCUAAUACAGCGCCUUGCUUGGUUUCCUCCCAUUCUUUGUCU
RNAcentral lists this long non-coding RNA (859 nucleotides) under Equus asinus (donkey). RNAcentral describes it as "lncRNA (ENSEASG00005027733.1)". The record is from RNAcentral. Lineage: Eukaryota; Metazoa; Chordata; Mammalia; Perissodactyla; Equidae.